GAGUCCGAAUUGUCUGGAGAUCUA
RNAcentral lists this small nuclear RNA (24 nucleotides) under Arabidopsis thaliana (thale cress). Its description in RNAcentral is "snRNA_10826". Lineage: Eukaryota; Viridiplantae; Streptophyta; Magnoliopsida; Brassicales; Brassicaceae. The record is from RNAcentral.